Transfer RNA from Felis catus (domestic cat), 85 nucleotides. It matches the Rfam family "tRNA". Rfam says of the family: Transfer RNA (tRNA) molecules are approximately 80 nucleotides in length. Their secondary structure includes four short double-helical elements and three loops (D, anti-codon, and T loops). The record is from Rfam. NCBI's taxonomy places the organism in Eukaryota, Metazoa, Chordata, Mammalia, Carnivora, Felidae.
GCCUGGGUGGCUCAGUCGGUUGAGCGUCCGACUUCAGCUCGGGUCAUGAUCUCACAGUCUGUGAGUUCGAGCCCCGCGUCGGGCU